CAGUAGCCGCGGUAAUACAGAGGGUGCGAGCGUUAAUCGGAUUUACUGGGCGUAAAGCGUGCGUAGGCGGCUUUUUAAGUCGGAUGUGAAAUCCCUGAGCUUAACUUAGGAAUUGCAUUCGAUACUGGGAAGCUAGAGUAUGGGAGAGGAUGGUAGAAUUCCAGGUGUAGCGGUGAAAUGCGUAGAGAUCUGGAGGAAUACCGAUGGCGAAGGCAGCCAUCUGGCCUAAUACUGACGCUGAGGUACGAAAGCAUGGGGAGCAAACAGGAUUAGAUACCCGUGUAGUCCCUGUUUCUUAUAC
Molecule: ribosomal RNA, 301 nt
Filed under: uncultured bacterium
Lineage: Bacteria
Description: partial 16S ribosomal RNA
Rfam family: Bacterial small subunit ribosomal RNA
Source: RNAcentral